Long non-coding RNA from Salvia splendens (bonfire salvia), 200 nucleotides. RefSeq lists it as uncharacterized. The record is from RefSeq and is a predicted model, not a curated record. The transcript has 2 exons. Lineage: Eukaryota; Viridiplantae; Streptophyta; Magnoliopsida; Lamiales; Lamiaceae.
CCGCCGUCGCGGAGGAUCUCCCCCUCCAGCCGCCGACGCCGAUUUCUGAGAGGUAUAAUCGGUUCAAGUUCGUGGCCGUCCGCGCUGAAGUGCUCGAUUUUCUUAGAACGCAUGAUGUAUAGAUUAUAUUUUGUUGGACUUUUUGGUUGGAUGUAUCGGACAUUAAAAUUUUAAAUUUUGAGAUCUUAUUUAUUUAUUUA